This is a long non-coding RNA of Dermacentor andersoni, 5642 nucleotides long. RefSeq lists it as uncharacterized. NCBI's taxonomy places the organism in Eukaryota, Metazoa, Arthropoda, Arachnida, Ixodida, Ixodidae. The record is from RefSeq and is a predicted model, not a curated record.
GUACAUUGUCGUUGAGUAGUUCUGAAAGCGCUGCGCGCGACUGCAACUAGGCGUUGCGGCAAGUUACGGUGGCAACUUCUUUCCGUGCUGCGUGAUUGUGACGGAGGGGACCGCCGCCAGCAGCAACGUCUCGCCGAUUUCGUCUUUGCCGACAUCGAGCAAGUGCAGCUCGCCGCACCGUCACAAGCGCCCGAAGUGUUGCGGUUUGCACUGCGUCUUUCAUUGUGAUAUGGGAGAUCGCAACGCACAGAGACGACCAGAUGCAUACGAAAGACUACCAGCGGGGAGUGACCUGUGCCAUAUUUCUCUUAACGUCUCAGGUACACUCUGGCGGCUCCUACCCCUGCGUCCUACCACCACCCUGUCCUGACUGCAUCCACUAGGGAGUUGGGAGCCUUUGGCGGCUUCUGCCACUGCGUCCUGCCACCACCAUGUCCCGACUACGUCCACUAGGGAGUUGGCAGCCGUAGUGAUGAUGCCAAGCAGGCUGACAGACCACAGAAAGAUUCCGGUUGCCUCGAAAUUUUACCCAAGCCAUGCCACACGCUCGGGCCAGGCCUCUUGCGAACGACGUAUAACCAGGCUCAACGCAUCAGUGUCGAGUGAGUCCGGAGAUCAGGGCAACCUGCUGUGCAACCAGCGCGCAACACUUGGUGACCCCUCUACAUGUUCUACCUACUUCACAGCUGUGCCUCACCUUCCAUCUAUCCAAACAGCAUCAACAGCUGUGAUCACUUAUCGAACCAUGGAUGAAUGUUGGGGUGGAGUGAUUUGAAGAGACAUUGUAUUUGUCUCUUCAAAUUCUUUGCAAAUACUUAUGUUAUUAUAAUUCAUAUGUGUCUUUAGUACCUAGUUUUUAAUAGUUCUUUUCUCUUAGAAUUCUCACCAACAACUCCUGCUAUUAUAAUGUAUACCCGUCUUCAUGCCCCGUUUCUCGUAGUUCUUUUGUACUUGUGGAUGUAAUUUAUAGCUUCUUAAUUCUUGUACAGAAGGCUCAAAUGCAAACUUAUGGCAUUUUUUCUUCCUUUGAUAAUCUACAGCACUGCAAUGUGUUCAAGAAAUGUAACAUAGCAUGGGCUCUGGUGCAGGAUAAAUUUCAGAGCAAUAUAGAGUACUUAUUUCAAGCUCCCGUUAUUUUUGAAAAACUCGAGAAUAUAGGAGCACAAGAAAGAAAAUAUUAAACUAGAGAAAUGUGGGUUCCCCUCAUAAGUCUGGUAAUAAUGUGACUUGCUUUCACUGCAAAGAUACCAGUGGUACUCGCAUACAAGGUUGGAGACAUGAAAGCUAUGAUGCCCUUGGCAUUUCUCUGCUUAUUUGCCACACUGACAAAUGUCAAAGGCAUCGUAGGUUUCAUGCACACAUUGGUUGUAUUACACCUUUUGAGUAUUGCAUUUCUCAAACACACAGGUCUACAGCAGUGCUUUAAAUAGCAGAUGUAUUUCCUAAUUUUCAGAAUUUGUUAGUUGCAAGAGUAACGGUACAGAUCAUGUAAAAAUAAUUUUACGGACUUUAUGUCCAUGGAUGCAUGCUUCUGAUUACAUAGUGCCAUGUGGUCGGGGGAUGAAUGUAUUUAUUUCCGAUUUAAAUAUUGGCUUCCAGGUCUGGGUUAGUCUCCUACACUGAGUAUUCUAGGUCAGAGGCCAUUUAUUAAAGGAAAGUGAAUUAAACUAGGAAUUUUAAACAUCAAAAGAUCUUGUUCAGGACACUAAUGUGACAAUCAACAAGGUUCUUUGUGCAUUCAUUUCUAAAUUUGUGAGGAUAUAUUUUGAAUGGUUUUAUUAAUGCGAGAACAAAUAUUUGUUUAUUCUCACACUAGAGUUGGCUGCCCCCAUUGGCAUACAACUCCUUUACAGACUAAAAAUUCAGUGUAUUAAUAGGCUGUUUGUGGUUUUGCGCACUCAGUAUUAAGGGAUGCAAACAGUGACAUACAAUAGAAUGCAAAAAAUGACUAAGGAAUGCAAGCAGGCCAUGGGGCUUUUUGGGCAGAUGCGUGCAUGUGCUAAUUAUAAAACUCCCUAUAGUAUACCUGAAGUCAUUUUUUAACCCUUUGGUAGAAACACUGAUGCACACUUAUUAAGGGGAAAUGCUCCUCGAAACAACUUUAAUUAUUUGUACUAGAGAUUUGAAUAUACUGCCAUUCAUAGGGAGAUUUAUGUAGAUUUGAAUUUUCAUUAAUUUUUGUGUAGCUGGUGUUUUUUUAGUUUGUCCUACAUAGUGGCAAAACAUUUUUUGUGGGCACUUUCUUGUGUAUAAAAUUUUCACAAAUAGUUUCAUGCUGUAUCUUAUUUAGCUAGUUGUAUACCACAAAGUGGCGAUACCUAUCCAAACAGCUUGUACAAUUACUGGAACUAUGCAAAAAAUAUUAGGCCACUUUAAAUAAUUUUUACAGAUUGCAAUUUGAAUUAGAUAUCAGUAUUCUGCAUAUCUUGAAGAGUAGUAUGCCAAAUUUCAUUUGUAUAGGACAAUUAUAAGUGCACAAGGUUAUUAUCAUGCUAUUGUGAGAAAAAAUUAUUGAAGUAUUCUCAGUAAUCUUUUGUCACAAUCCAUGAGAAGUAUGCAAGAGUAGUAGGCAGGCCUGCCUGCCUACUAAUCUUGCAUACUUCUAGUAACUUUACAUGCUGUUUCAAUAGAUAUCGGCACUUUGCAGUCUACAAAGAGCUGAGUUAGCUACAGCACACUGCUUUUUGUUAAAAUUUAAUACACAAGAAAGCGCCCGCAAAUAUCACGAUGUAUUUUACCGUUGUCUAGGACAUAACUCAAGAAGCAGCUAAGCGAAAACUAAUGGCAUAUAUGAAAUCUGCAUGAAAAGCUCUACAAUUGGUUCUCUUUUCAAACCUCUAGUACAAAGAAUAAAAAUAUUUCGAGUAAUAUUCAAUCAGCAAAACGUUCCCCUUGCUACAGUGACCUACAACAUAGCGACACAAAGUUUAAGGCAAGUCCUCUUGUCGAAGUGACUCUGCGCUGUCUUCCCAGGGGAUUCUGUUAAACACUGAAUUUUCCUGCAUUUGCCAGAAGUGCAGUACUAAAACGUUUGUGAAUGUGCAAUUGGUAUUGGCACACUAACAGAAAAAGAAACAGUUCUGUGAAAUACAGAAUCGACUAUCACUUUGUUCAACGUGUACAUUUUGACCCCAUAUCUUUGUUUUGUAUUUUGUACUGUGAGUUUCAGCAGUGACUGCCGCUAAUUAUUGAACAUAACUGCUUCACGACAGUGCGACAAUUUUCACUAACAGAAAUUUAGAGCAGUGGCAGGCAUUAGAAUUACAGUACUCAAUAACGUCUACUUUGUAAGAACUCAGACUAGCACCAGUUCCGAGAUGCACAUACCCAAAAAGUAAUGAUCGAAUAGAUUUCUCUUCCAUACAGAAUUGUCCCACAAGGCUUACAGAAGGCUUUUUAAAAGCAAAGUAAUAUCUGAAAGAGCAAAGCAUGUUCCACCAAGUAUGGUGUCAAAUAUUUCAGAGCUGCCAGUCUGAGGACUCCUACAAACUAACAAUACCUUCAGCACUGACUAGCUUCAAUAAUGGGAUGUAAGCAUUUUGCUGAAAUUAAUGAAACGUGAAAUAUUGUGAUCUAGUUUAAGAAGAGAUUUGCAAUUAUCGCGCAGUUAUAAUCUGUCACUUUUGUAAAUAUUUUCCAAUUAUUUUUUCACGCUACAAUUUUUGGUAAUAGUGGUAUUCAUUGCGGAAAGACCUAGUACAUGGCAUGUAAUAAUAAAGGUACUGCUCAUUGUAGAUUUUCUCUUCAGCAUUUGUUCUGUUCCACAGCUGUUUCUUGAAAUCUGAAAUGAUGUACCCAUCUCUUUGUUAGCAGUAAACAGGGAAAUCUGUCAGUAUGUUUUGUUUAAAAUACAGCUGAUCAAUGCAAUAGUUAGGCUAUUUGCUAAUUAUAAAUUACAACGAUAAUAGUGCAGGACCAUAAAAACAUAUUGAUGCUAACAGCUGUGCCCAGCUACAUCCACGCACGCAGCUGUGCCAUACAAUGUGCAUGUGUUCAGAAGAGCCAUAUGCCCCAGAAAGAAAACAACAGUAGCUCAUUGUUCGUCAUCUUGUACAAGCAGAUUAUGCGCCAGAUGUAAUUUAUGCUCAGUAAAUACAUAAAUCAGUCAUGUGAGGUGUCUCACUUUAGGUUGCAAGUUCGAAGUUCUUGUAAUCUUGCUUGUUUUUGUUUUGUUUCCUUUGUGAGCAUGAGUUGUGAGCAUGAGUGACUUGGCUGCCUUGGCACAUAUUGUCAAAACUGUUUCUUCAUCGCUGGGAAUCACGAAAGUUCAUUUACACAUAAAAUUCCCAGUUACUGAUAUGGUAGGCUUCGAGCUUAAUUCUCUUAUCUUUCAUAUGUUUAUCUACCAAGUAGUUUUGUCGUUCAUUGACACAUAUCCACGCAGUGCACAGUGGGAACCCAAAUUAUAAAUAUAUGCUCUUGCUUUCUACCCUGCUCUGGUGUUUUUGUAACCUAGCAUUGGUGCAAUGGGGGGGGGGGCCUGUCUGCACCUGCAGAAAAGUAGUGAAGUGGCUAAAGAUAAAGGUCAACAACAUAAUGAAGAUACAAAGCAAAAGAGUAAGUUUGCAAUCGUUCCCCAUAACCAGAGUUUCGCUUAGAAUUUGAAAAAAAAAAAAUUGACAUCCUGCUAUGGUGGGAGAGUUGCUUGUGGCACCAAGUGAACUGCGUAGCACCUGUGCUAGAGUACAGAACAAAGCAGAAAAUCACAAGGUUGGAGUGGCAGUGGUAAGUUAAGCACAGAGUUUUAUUUCAAGCACCAUUAAUGUGGCUUAUCUGCUCCUAUUUUGUUUUGUGGGAACGCAUAUAUUGGGAAGACAAUUUUUUGCGCCAAUGUUACCUUAGCGGGACACCAUAGAAAGGUAGAAAUCAAGAGUAGGUAUUCACAAUUGGUUGCCCACAGUGUAUUAUCUGGAUGUGUUUCACUCUAGAAAAGACUACUGUGGUAGAUAAUCAUAAAGACAAAGACAAAAGAAUUAAAAGAGGUAUGUGUCAGUCAUCCUUCCGUGACCUCCAGUGUUUAUAGAAACACUUUUUUCUGUAUGUGCCAAGCCGUAGGGAGGCUUUAUGUAACUCAGUCAUGCUUUCUAAGUUAUAUAUCGGAAUAAGGACAAUCACAAGAACAUUGUAUGAGUGAUUUGUAAAUGUGACACCUAAUGUAACUUAUUCAUGUAUGUGCUGAGGGUAGAUUACAGCCAGUGCAUAAUCUGCUCUUACAGGAUGAGUUGUGAUGAGUAAAAGAAGCCUUCCUCACAUCUUCCUCUUUGUUUCUUUUAGAUUUUGGUGCACCAUGUGUAUUGUUACAGCUGCAUGCAUGCAGCUGGGUAUAGUUUGUUUAUGUGUUCUGCUUCCUCCCUUGUCUUCAUCAUUCAUGUGCUCUCUUUGCCAUAACAAAAUACAGCUACCUGUGCUACAUAUUUUGUCAGCAUGCUUGCAUUAUGGCAAGUUUUGUAUUAGGGGUUAUUGCAAUCUGUGAAAUUGUCUGUCAGCUAUUAUACUUCGUCUUGGAAAAGUAUGUUUGUCAAUAUAAAUAAACGAUUAAUAUAAAUGUUGCUGUAUUUAUUUUUGUAAUAUUGUCAGUUAUGAAGUUUUUAUACACUGGUGCAUAUUGUAUGACAAAAUAAAAUUGAUGCUCAACUUUUUAA